This 75-nucleotide transfer RNA is filed under the name Limisphaerales bacterium. RNAcentral's name for it is "Verrucomicrobia subdivision 3 bacterium (sediment metagenome) tRNA-Ala". It matches the Rfam family "tRNA". Rfam says of the family: Transfer RNA (tRNA) molecules are approximately 80 nucleotides in length. Their secondary structure includes four short double-helical elements and three loops (D, anti-codon, and T loops). Further hydrogen bonds mediate the characteristic L-shaped molecular structure. tRNAs have two regions of fundamental functional importance: the anti-codon, which is responsible for specific mRNA codon recognition, and the 3' end, to which the tRNAs corresponding amino acid is attached (by aminoacyl-tRNA synthetases). tRNAs cope with the degeneracy of the genetic code in two manners: having more than one tRNA (with a specific anti-codon) for a particular amino acid; and 'wobble' base-pairing, i.e. permitting non-standard base-pairing at the 3rd anti-codon position. Lineage: Bacteria; Pseudomonadati; Verrucomicrobiota; Verrucomicrobiia; Limisphaerales. The record is from RNAcentral.
GGGGCUGUAGCUCAGUGGUAGAGCGGUAGCUUUGCAAGCUAUAGGUCGGGAGUUCGACCCUCCUCAGCUCCACCA